AGUUUCAAACAGGGGUGCCGAAAGGCUGAGAGGCAUUUGAUGCCAACCCUUUGAACCUGAUCUGGGUAAUACCAGCGGAGGGAGUGAUUAAUAUGAUUUUUU
Molecule: non-coding RNA, 102 nt
Filed under: Syntrophaceticus schinkii
Lineage: Bacteria; Bacillati; Bacillota; Clostridia; Thermoanaerobacterales; Thermoanaerobacterales Family III. Incertae Sedis
Description: TPP sequence
Rfam family: TPP riboswitch aptamer (THI element)
About the family: Vitamin B(1) in its active form thiamin pyrophosphate (TPP) is an essential coenzyme that is synthesised by coupling of pyrimidine and thiazole moieties in bacteria.
Source: Rfam by way of RNAcentral